AUGCCCAGUGGCUGUGUACGAGGCUGAAGGUGCCCAGUGGCUGUGUACGAGGCUGAAGGUGCCCCAGUGGCUGUGUACGAGGCUGAAGGUGCCCAGUGGCUGGGUACGAGGCUGAAGGUGCCCAGUGGCUGUGUACGAGGCUGAAGGUGCCCAGGUGGCUGUGUACGAGGCUGAAGAUGCCCAGUGGCUGUGUACGAGGCUGAAGGUGCCCAGUGGCUGUGUACGAGGCUGAAGGUCCUCAGUGGCUGUGUACGAGGCUGAAGGUGCCCAGUGGCUGUGUACGAGGCUGAAGGUGCCCAGUGGCUGUGUACGAGGCUGAAGGUGCCCAGUGGCUGUGUACGAGGCUGAAGGUCCUCAGUGGCUGUGUACGAGGCUGAAGGUGCCCAGUGGCUGUGUACGACGCUGAAGGUACCCAGUGGCUGUGUACGAGGCUGAAGGUGCCCCAGUGGCUGUGUACGAGGCUGAAGGUGCCCAGUGACUGUGUAUGACGCUGAAGGGGGAGGGGGCCCAGCGGCUGUGUACGAGGCUGAAGGGGGCCCAGUGGCUGUGUACGAGGCUGAAGGUGCCCAGUGGCUGGGUACGAGGCUGAAGGUGCCCAGUGGCUGUGUACGAGGCUGAAGGUCCUCAGUGGCUGUGUACGAGGCUGAAGGUGCCCAGUGGCUGUGUACGAGGCUGAAGGUGCCCAGUGGCUGUGUACGAGGCUGAAGGUGCCCAGUGGCUGUGUACGAGGCUGAAGUUGCCCAGUGGCUGUGUACGAGGCUGAAGGUGCCCAGUGGCUGUGUACGAGGCUGAAGGUGCCCAGUGGCUGUGUACGAGGCUGAAGGUGCCCAGUGGCUGUGUACGACGCUGAAGGUGCCCAGUGGCUGUGUACGAGGCUGAAGGUGCCCAGUGGCUGUGUACGAGGCUGAAGGUCCUCAGUGGCUGUGUACGAGGCUGAAGGUGCCCCAGUGGCUGUGUACGAGG
This is a long non-coding RNA of Oncorhynchus keta (chum salmon), 963 nucleotides long. RefSeq lists it as uncharacterized. The record is from RefSeq and is a predicted model, not a curated record. The transcript is spliced from 3 exons. NCBI's taxonomy places the organism in Eukaryota, Metazoa, Chordata, Actinopteri, Salmoniformes, Salmonidae.